UCAGGAAUAUUGCGCAAUGGAGGAAACUCUGACGCAGCGACGCCGCGUGGGUGAUGAAGGCCUUCGGGUCGUAAAGCCCUGUCGGGAGGGAAGAAAAAUCUGCUGGCUAAUAUCCAGCAGGUCUUUGACGGUACCUUCAAAGGAAGCACCGGCUAACUCCGUGCCAGCAGCCGCGGUAAGACGGAGGGUGCAAGCGUUGUUCGGAUUGACUGGGCGUAAAGGGCGUGUAGGCGGUUGGUCAAGUCUGGUGUGAAAGCCCGGGGCUUAGCUCCGGAAGUGCGCUGGAAACUAGCCGACUGGAGCGCGAUAGAGGAGGGUGGAAUUCCUGGUGUAGCGGUGAAAUGCGUAGAUAUCAGGAGGAACACCGGCGGCGAAGGCGGCCCUCUGGAUCGUUGCUGACGCUGAGACGCGAAAGCGUGGGGAGCAAACAGG
RNAcentral lists this ribosomal RNA (432 nucleotides) under uncultured Syntrophobacteraceae bacterium. RNAcentral's name for it is "bacterial SSU rRNA". It matches the Rfam family "Bacterial small subunit ribosomal RNA", at positions 355 to 776 of the family's 1533-position model. Lineage: Bacteria; Pseudomonadati; Thermodesulfobacteriota; Syntrophobacteria; Syntrophobacterales; Syntrophobacteraceae. The record is from RNAcentral.